RNAcentral lists this ribosomal RNA (463 nucleotides) under uncultured bacterium. RNAcentral describes it as "bacterial SSU rRNA". It matches the Rfam family "Bacterial small subunit ribosomal RNA", at positions 1 to 507 of the family's 1533-position model. The record is from RNAcentral.
AGUAGUCACGUAGUUUGAUCCGUGGCUCAGAACGACGCUGGCGGCAUGCCUAACACAUGCAAGUCGAACGAGACCUUCGGGUCUAGUGGCGCACGGGUGCGUAACACGUGGGAAUUUGCCUCGGGGUAUGGAAUAACUCAGGGAAACUUGAGCUAAUACCAUAUAAUGUCUUCGGACCAAAGAUUUAUCGCCCUGAGAUAAGCCCGCGUAGGAUUAGCUAGUUGGUGGGGUAAAGGCUCACCAAGGCGACGAUCCUUAGCUGGUCCGAGAGGAUGAUCAGCCACACUGGGACUGAGACACGGCCCAGACUCCUACGGGAGGCAGCAGUGGGGGAAUAUUGGACAAUGGGCGAAAGCCUGAUCCAGCAAUGCCGCGUGAGUGAUGAAGGCCUUCGGGUUGUAAAGCUCUUUUACUCGGGACGAUAAUGACGGUACCGAGAGAAUAAGCCCCGGCUAACUCCGUG